Long non-coding RNA from Pogoniulus pusillus (Red-fronted tinkerbird), 713 nucleotides. RefSeq lists it as uncharacterized. The transcript is spliced from 7 exons. The record is from RefSeq and is a predicted model, not a curated record. NCBI's taxonomy places the organism in Eukaryota, Metazoa, Chordata, Aves, Piciformes, Lybiidae.
CAGAAAGGCCUGGAGGAAAGAAGUGGAGUAAAACAAAAGAAAAUAAUCCCUCCAAAGCUCUUUGUGGACUGUUCCUUCUGCAGCCUGGCUUGGCAUGAUAAGGCAUACAUGGGAACCAGACCAGUGCUUCCCAGGAAAACUCAUCACUAAGGAGUAUUGAAGGAUUGCAUCAAAUACAGCAGCAAAAUAUCCCAGAGCUGACAACAUUCACCAUGCUGGAUGUCUGCUGAGUUUAUGGCAGAGGGGAUGCUGAAGUAACCUGUGGAAACAAGUCAGCUUCCCUUGGCCAUGGGAGAAAACCAGCAAAUCCCUUUAAGUUAAUCCAACUGAUGAUUGUUCACCUGGCCAGAAAUAAAUUGUCCUUCAUCAAGGAUUCAAGAAACCAGCAAAUUUUUGGUCUCUCUGUAUGUGUCACUGAAGAUUUGUGCCCCACUACAGAGGGAAUUUCUGCACACCAUUGCAACACAUGAACAUGAGACAAAACACACCUGCUGGCUUCACAAGGCUAUUGUACUUCAAGUUUUGCUUAAAAGCAAGCACCUUGUCCCUGUGGCUGCUUGUCCUAUCAUCGGACUGCUGCACUUGCAGCUUGAAAAUCUGAAUGGAAGCCUGACAGGUGAAUUCAGCAAGGCAGAAGACAUCUUACAGCCCCAUGAGAUGUAGAGCACUUUGCCAAACAUCCUUCACAGCCAUCCUGCUGGGAAAACCAUCUU